Molecule: ribosomal RNA, 461 nt
Filed under: uncultured bacterium
Lineage: Bacteria
Description: bacterial SSU rRNA
Rfam family: Bacterial small subunit ribosomal RNA
Source: RNAcentral
GGAAUAUUGGGCAAUGGACGCAAGUCUGACCCAGCCAUGCCGCGUGCAGGAUGACAGCCUUAUGGGUUGUAAACUGUUUUUAUACAGGAAGAAACCCCCCCGACGUGUCGGGGGCUUGACGGUACUGUAUGAAUAAGCAUCGGCUAACUCCGUGCCAGCAGCCGCGGUAAUACGGAGGAUGCAAGCGUUAUCCGGAUUUAUUGGGUUUAAAGGGUGCGUAGGCGGGAGAUUAAGUCAGUGGUGAAAUCCUGCAGCUUAACUGCAGAACUGCCAUUGAUACUGGUUUCCUUGAGUACAGUUGAGGUGGGCGGAAUGUGUAGUGUAGCGGUGAAAUGCUUAGAUAUUACACAGAACACCAAUUGCGUAGGCAGCUCACUAAACUGUUACUGACGCUGAGGCACGAAAGCGUGGGGAKCAAACAGGAUUAGAUACCYUGGUAGUCCACGCUGUAAAUCGAUGAU